UACGUAGGGGGCAAGCGUUGUCCGGAAUCAUUGGGCGUAAAGCGCGCGUAGGCGGCCCGGUAAGUCCGUUGUGAAAGUCAAAGGCUCAACCUUUGAACGCCGAUGGAUACUGCCGGGCUAGAGUCCGGAAGAGGCGAGUGGAAUUCCUGGUGUAGCGGUGAAAUGCGCAGAUAUCGGGAGGAACACCAAUGGCGAAGGCAGCUCGCUGGGACGGUACUGACGCUGAGGCGCGAAAGCGUGGGGAGCGAACAGG
RNAcentral lists this ribosomal RNA (253 nucleotides) under uncultured bacterium. RNAcentral describes it as "partial 16S ribosomal RNA". It matches the Rfam family "Bacterial small subunit ribosomal RNA", at positions 524 to 776 of the family's 1533-position model. The record is from RNAcentral.